GAAUGUGCGGGUUACGAUUUUUUAUUAUUUUUUCUUUUUUGUGUGGUAAAGCAUAAAAGGAACAUCAUCCACAAGUCGCGCUCCAUUUUUCAGAGCUGCCACAUAUGCCUUGUAACAACUCGAUUUUUAGUGGUGUUAGAAACAGUUGUUCAAGACCACCAAAUCCAACGAGUAAGCUUGUAAAUUUUAAUAUUUUGUAUUUACGAGUCAAAUUUGAUUUUAGAAAGAUUUCUGC
RNAcentral lists this long non-coding RNA (235 nucleotides) under Gossypium raimondii (Peruvian cotton). RNAcentral's name for it is "long non-coding RNA (GRAI_LNC008308)". The record is from RNAcentral. Lineage: Eukaryota; Viridiplantae; Streptophyta; Magnoliopsida; Malvales; Malvaceae.